UUUUAUGGAGAGUUUGAUCCUGGCUCAGGAUGAACGCUGGCGGCGUGCCUAAUACAUGCAAGUCGAGCGAACGGACGAGAAGCUUGCUUCUCUGAUGUUAGCGGCGGACGGGUGAGUAACACGUGGAUAACCUACCUAUAAGACUGGGAUAACUUCUGGAAACCGGAGCUAAUACCGGAUAAUAUUUUGAACCGCAUGGUUCAAAAGUGAAAGACGGUCUUGCUGUCACUUAUAGAUGGAUCCGCGCUGCAUUAGCUAGUUGGUAAGGUAACGGCUUACCAAGGCAACGAUGCAUAGCCGACCUGAGAGGGUGAUCGGCCACACUGGAACUG
RNAcentral lists this ribosomal RNA (332 nucleotides) under Staphylococcus aureus. RNAcentral's name for it is "bacterial SSU rRNA". It matches the Rfam family "Bacterial small subunit ribosomal RNA", at positions 1 to 321 of the family's 1533-position model. Lineage: Bacteria; Bacillati; Bacillota; Bacilli; Caryophanales; Staphylococcaceae. The record is from RNAcentral.